GAGGGGGCUGCCGGCCGGCUGGCCGGCUCCAAGGGCAGGCGGGCGGGCGUGGGGAGCGCCACGGGGCGGGCAGGCGGGGCGCGCCACGUGCGCUUCGUGCGCCGGCUGGGCGGCCUGCGGGACCGGCGCGGGGCUGCGGGGGGGAGGAGAUGAUGUGGUGAACCUGCAGAAGGAGUUGGGGGAGGGGGCAAAGAGAGACCUAUUUUUAAUGCAGCUGUUUAAUUCAACGGCUUUAAUGCAGCCGCUUCGAUGCAACUGUUCACCGUUGCAAAAAAAAAAAAUAUAUAUAGCCUGCAGUCCUGUGCAGAGUUACUCCGGCCCAAACCCGUUGAAGCGGCGGCGUUGACUGGAGCAACUCGCCCUAGGAUUGCGCUGUCACUUUGCUCUUUAGGUGCCCAAAGAAGUUUUCAAAGGCGGCGCUUCCACCCCACAAGAAGUUUUAAGGGCACCCCACUGGCACAUCCCGUUCCCUUUGGCUCAAAGGCAUGGGUGCCUUCGGCGCCCUUCCUUUAUUGCCCUUCCUAGCCCCCAAUCCGGCCUGUCAACAUGAUAAAAGGCGGUGGGCUCUCAGCUUAGAGAAAAUAGGGGGGAGGGAUAAGGAGAGCCCCACCCCUCACCCCUGGAAUGAGACUGCUCCAAAAGCAGAAUAGAGCAAGGGUGGAAGAAGAAUGCAGAAAGCGAAAGGAAAUGAAGUUACGCACUUCUAAAACCUGGAUUUAGAAGCACACAGCUGUUUCCCAGGAUUGCACUGCUGGCUGACCGUGCUGUGGGGAUAAAAUAGAGAAGGGGGAUAUUUAUUCCCGUUUCAGCCUAUCACAGAUCCUAGCGAGACGCUGAUCGCUUUACCACUCUGGCUAAAUUGCGGUUCCACCUUUCCUGACUGAAGAGCAUCCCGUUCCAAGAUCGGAGGGGGAUUCUUGGCUAACAAGCCAACAUUCUUUUGGUGAAUCCUUGAAACCCAUCCAGCAAUAUAUUGGGCAAAACUAAAGGGAGGCUCAUAUGCAGUAAGAAGGCAAUCCAAUUCUAUCGACCGCAGCUGAAGCGAGGAACAACAUUCUCACAAAGGCUGGAGAGCUGGAUGCAGAAACACUCAGACAAAAGGCUGGAGAAGGUGCCCCAGAACAAAUUUAUUGUAGCUCACCCGAUUUCUUUUCAAAGGGGUUUUCACAGGCAGUAAAAUAAUAAAACAUACCUGAACAGAGCUUUCCAGUGGCUAACAUAGAUUUUCAAUGCAAAAAGGAUCUUGACUCCACAGUUCAACUCAUUUUUUUUUAACAAGAGAGAAUGAGUAGAUGGCACAAUAUAAGGGAACAGUCCAGGAAGGUACCUUUAUAAAGGGAAUGGGAUUAUGGGCUAUUGCAGUGUUUAUGUAGUUAUGCCAUUUAUUCUGUCCUGUCUUCUGCCUUUGUUAUCCACUUUAAUAACUGCUUAUAUUUCAAGCUUUAGAUAAUCUUCCAUUUGUUUGCUUUCGCAUUUGUUUUCAAGUCAUCACCCCUUUGUACAACUUACUGAUGUCUCAUUCUCCCUAGCUGCAUUUUAAAAAUAUUUUGUAAUCUGACAUGAAUUUUAGUAAAGAAGGCAGGUUAUAAAUGAAGUAAAUAAAUGUGGACAGUGUUAUGCAUCUGCGUUAUUCAAAACAUCUCAUAACAAUAAAAUGGUAAAACUAA
Long non-coding RNA from Sphaerodactylus townsendi, 1667 nucleotides. RefSeq lists it as uncharacterized. The transcript has 2 exons. The record is from RefSeq and is a predicted model, not a curated record. NCBI's taxonomy places the organism in Eukaryota, Metazoa, Chordata, Lepidosauria, Squamata, Sphaerodactylidae.